RNAcentral lists this long non-coding RNA (243 nucleotides) under Lathyrus oleraceus (garden pea). RNAcentral's name for it is "Pisum sativum (pea) long non-coding RNA (PSAT_LNC004175)". The record is from RNAcentral. Lineage: Eukaryota; Viridiplantae; Streptophyta; Magnoliopsida; Fabales; Fabaceae.
AAGGAAUCUUUGGAGCAAGCCAUCACGUCAUUUGCAUCUGUGGAAAGUACAAAGACAACUAUUGAGAAUGAGAGUCAUGAAGGUUGGGGACAAGUUGUUGACAUCAGCAUGAAGAAAGACCGUUUCGGUUUGGGGUACAAGCCAUCCUCAAAAGAAGGAGCCCCAAUCCCUAAAAAGGGUCGUAUGCAAAGAAUUCAAGAAGUAUUCCUCAGUGCAGGAUAUGUCUAUGGAGAUCAGGUCAAC